CCUGUGGAGCGUUACACCAAACGUGAGUUAGCUUUAGGCAAAAGCGGACGCGUUGAAGCAGGAA
Molecule: non-coding RNA, 64 nt
Filed under: unclassified sequences
Description: RAGATH-18 RNA
Rfam family: RAGATH-18 RNA
About the family: Actinobacteria, Firmicutes, Fusobacteria, Thermotogae (1 example). Nearby to self-cleaving ribozyme genes
Source: Rfam by way of RNAcentral